GAUGAACGCUGGCGGCGUGCCUAAUACAUGCCAGUCGAGCGAACAGACGAGGAGCUUGCUCCUUCGACGUUAGCGGCGGACGGGUGAGUAACACGUAGGUAACCUACCUAUAAGACUGGGAUAACUUCGGGAAACCGGAGCUAAUACCGGAUAAUAUUUCGAACCGCAUGGUUCGAUAGUGAAAGAUGGCUUUGCUAUCACUUAUAGAUGGACCUGCGCCGUAUUAGCUAGUUGGUAAGGUAACGGCUUACCAAGGCAACGAUACGUAGCCGACCUGAGAGGGUGAUCGGCCACACUGGAACUGAGACACGGUCCAGACUCCUACGGGAGGCAGCAGUAGGGAAUCUUCCGCAAUGGGCGAAAGCCUGACGGAGCAACGCCGCGUGAGUGAUGAAGGUCUUCGGAUCGUAAAACUCUGUUAUUAGGGAAGAACAAACGUGUAAGUAACUGUGCACGUCUUGACGGUACCUAAUCAGAAAGCCACGGCUAACUACGUG
Molecule: ribosomal RNA, 497 nt
Filed under: uncultured bacterium
Lineage: Bacteria
Description: partial 16S ribosomal RNA
Rfam family: Bacterial small subunit ribosomal RNA
Source: RNAcentral